RNAcentral lists this small RNA (88 nucleotides) under Bison bison bison. RNAcentral's name for it is "NoRC associated RNA, pRNA (ENSBBBG00000023868.1)". Lineage: Eukaryota; Metazoa; Chordata; Mammalia; Artiodactyla; Bovidae. The record is from RNAcentral.
UUAUGGGGUAGCGCUGGGGGACAGGUGGCCGGGCCAAGGUUCCGGGGGGUCCUCCAUGAGAGUCGUGGAUGGGCCCCGCUGUCGGCUG